AUAGGGAACGUGAGCUGGAUUUAGACCGUCGUGAGACAGGUUAGUUUUACCCUACUGAUAACAGGUCGUUGCCGUAGUAAUCCUUGCUUAGUACGAGAGGAACCGCAGGGUUCGGGCAUUUGGUACACGCACUCGGUCGACAGGCCGGUGGUGCGAUGCCACCGUCCGCGGGAUUAUGCCUGAACGCCUCUAAGGCCGAAUCCCGACUAUGGUUCAACGAUUUAACAAUGGGUCCCGUGAGUCGAAAGGCUCAAAACAAUGUGACUUUAAUAGGCGGCCGGUUUAAACGGCUGUCGCCUGAGCCUUGUGGCUAAAAAUUCCAUUGUGUAAUUAAAUAUAUAGUAAAUUCUAGAUAUUUAAUUGGUUUUUUUAGCGUAACAUGGUUGAACCCUUCGGGGAGUUCGAUGUCGGGACCCAGAAUCGUCUGUAGACGACUUUUGUACCGGGCGGGGUGUUGUACUCGGGAGAGCAGUUAACUCGCUGCGAUCUGUUGAGACUCAGCCCUAGCUGGGGAGAUUCGU
Ribosomal RNA from Rhodnius prolixus, 521 nucleotides. It matches the Rfam family "Eukaryotic large subunit ribosomal RNA", at positions 2943 to 3401 of the family's 3401-position model. The record is from Rfam. NCBI's taxonomy places the organism in Eukaryota, Metazoa, Arthropoda, Insecta, Hemiptera, Reduviidae.